RNAcentral lists this transfer RNA (72 nucleotides) under Limulus polyphemus (Atlantic horseshoe crab). Its description in RNAcentral is "tRNA-Gln". It matches the Rfam family "tRNA". From Rfam's summary of the family: Transfer RNA (tRNA) molecules are approximately 80 nucleotides in length. Their secondary structure includes four short double-helical elements and three loops (D, anti-codon, and T loops). Lineage: Eukaryota; Metazoa; Arthropoda; Merostomata; Xiphosura; Limulidae. The record is from RNAcentral.
GGUUCAAUGGUGUAAUGGUUAGCACUCUGGACUUUGAAUCCAGUGAUCCGAGUUCAAAUGUCGGUGGAACCU